GGAUUGGCUCUCGCGGACGCUGACGGACAGGGCAGGGGAGGGCCAAAGCCCGGUCUGACGGGCGCGCGCGGGGGCGCGAAAGCACGAGAGCGCGGCUGCGCGUGCGCGAGCGGCGGGGCUUUCUCCCGAGCCGUCGGAGGGAGCCGGAGCGCUUCUCCAGAGUUGGUGAUCGAUUGGUCGUAAUCCAACAUGCAGAAGUGAGUGAGUGGUGAAAAGCAGCAGAGCUGAUGGGUUGUGAGGAUGUAAGUGCGUUUGAAGGCUCUCACACCCUCUACUCCAGGGUAAGAACGGCAGGUCUGAAGGGCUGAUAACCCCUCUAAGAUGAGAAGGGCCCCAGCAAGGGUCUCAAAGAAGCUCCUCUGUCUGUGAAGGGGCUUGAAGAAGCAUCUUGUUUUACAUCUGAUGAAAAUGGAGGGAGCACUUCUUUUGACAGGAAACUUCACUUCUUGUUACUGAAAACCGUCACAACAGUCAUUAUGUCUGGCUUCCAGAGAUUUCCUGGAGUUAGGAGAACAAUAGAUAGUUAAAAUGGCAAUAUUGAGAGCAUUCGGUGGUUUUAUAAUGAGUACCUAGGGAAAUUUUUUCUCUUGAGUUUGUAAGAAUAAAGUAGGAAUAUUUGGGAGGUUGGGAAAAAUGUAGAAAUGAACUUUAAUGCUUUAUUUUUAAAAAUGUUCUUUCUAACCUUUGGAAGUAAAAAAUUAAUUUUAUACCAUGGUUCCCAUUAUCUUGUUACUGAGUUGACGAUGACUAAGGGAAACUUCCUUUCUUCUGUGCCUAUCUGCAUUGUAAGUAAUCCCCCAAAAAGAUACAUUUAUAUCUUUGUGUCUUUUUUGAUUAAAUGUCAUUCAGAAUUCUUGAAUCUGUUUAUUGCUUCUUAACUUU
Molecule: long non-coding RNA, 882 nt
Filed under: Equus asinus (donkey)
Lineage: Eukaryota; Metazoa; Chordata; Mammalia; Perissodactyla; Equidae
Description: lncRNA (ENSEASG00005038015.1)
Source: RNAcentral